This 208-nucleotide non-coding RNA is filed under the name Lachnospiraceae bacterium. RNAcentral describes it as "T-box sequence". It matches the Rfam family "T-box leader". From Rfam's summary of the family: Uncharged tRNA acts as the effector for transcription antitermination of genes in the T-box leader family. T-boxes are found upstream of many aminoacyl-tRNA synthetase genes and some amino acid biosynthetic genes usually in Gram-positive bacteria. The record is from RNAcentral. Lineage: Bacteria; Bacillati; Bacillota; Clostridia; Lachnospirales; Lachnospiraceae.
CAUUUGGCAAUGAAGAGGAUUAGUACAUGUAAGCGAGCCUCAGAGAGGGGAUCAUCUGGUGCAAGAUUUCCGCUUAGAACUGCAUGGAACCCGCCUUGGAGCCACUGCAUGAAAGUGCAGCGUCCUGCCAGCGUUAAUGGUUAAUGAGAGAACUGCGAAAGGGUCGCAGUUAACUAGGGUGGUACCGCCGAGCUUUUCGGUCCCUUUU